Long non-coding RNA from Bombus impatiens (common eastern bumble bee), 381 nucleotides. RefSeq lists it as uncharacterized. Lineage: Eukaryota; Metazoa; Arthropoda; Insecta; Hymenoptera; Apidae. The record is from RefSeq and is a predicted model, not a curated record. The transcript is spliced from 2 exons.
AUUUCUCAGAGUUAAAGCUUUAAUUAGAUCCUGAGCGGCUCAGAAUUCGCAUUGUAAACCGUGAUUAUAUUUUUUAAUUUCAUUAUAAAGAGAUUAGUUCCAUCAUUUCACCGCUAGAGUUUCAAUAAAUCAGAAUACUUUAAAGUAAUUUAAAAAUCUUGUUAGUUAUUCGUUCUAUUAUACUAUCCAAUCCCAUACUGUCUGCUUUCGGAUACCUCUAUACACUCUAUGCUCUAUGCUCUAUGCUCCGGUACCAACACUAUGAACGAAUGUAUAUUUUGCUUUUUCUUUCAAAACAAUGGAAGAAAUACGCAAAUAUUUCCAGAUUAAAUGAGGGGAAUGGUAUACUUAUUAAUAUAUCGCAAAUAAAUAUUUAUUUAA